Lolium perenne is the source of this 701-nucleotide long non-coding RNA. RefSeq lists it as uncharacterized. The record is from RefSeq and is a predicted model, not a curated record. Lineage: Eukaryota; Viridiplantae; Streptophyta; Magnoliopsida; Poales; Poaceae.
AGAAAAAAGACAAGUACAACAAUGAGGACCCUAGUCCCAUUGAGUUUUUCAAAGAGACCAAUACCAAUAGAAAGACGGGAUGCAUGAGCGCCGCUGCCCUUGAAGCUUAUACUGACAUGGAAAAGAGAAGGAGUGAAGCACAACAAGAAGAUGAGCACAUGGUGUCUGGUACACAUAUUGUGGCUGAAGUUCUAAAGGAGCACAACUCCUCAAGCACCUUCCUUUCAACCAUGGGGUACCAAUCAAGAUCUGAGACGUUUAGGACAUCAUAUUCUGAAGAACGGAUUCGAGAGUUAGAAGAAAAGGUUGAACAACAUAAGAGAGAAGCAAUAGAGGCAAAUGCAAUGUACCAACAACAUUUAACCGAGAGAGGUCAAAUUCAAGAGGCUGCACUAGAAGAGAUGCAAAGGAAACAACAAGAAGAAUUAGCGGCAAUGAAGAAGAGCCAACAAGAAAAGAAUAAAACAUAUGAAAAAAAAGCAAGAAGAACAUGGCAGUCUUAUUAGCUUCCUCUUACAAAAACAUGCAACGCAGAAUUAGACACCAUACUUGAUGGUGCAUUGAUGCAUGGUGGUGCUAUUCUAGCAUGAACUUAGUUGCUCGUCCUUAGUUAUGACAAAUUUACAGUGCAACGUAAGAACUUAUUUAGUUAUGUAAAAUGGUAUUUGGAUAUGAGAUGAUAUUUGGUCGUGAGUUAGAUA